Gasterosteus aculeatus aculeatus (three-spined stickleback) is the source of this 1379-nucleotide long non-coding RNA. The record is from Ensembl. Lineage: Eukaryota; Metazoa; Chordata; Actinopteri; Perciformes; Gasterosteidae.
AUGUUCCUAUGCUCCUUAAUAACAACCAGCGGUGAGAUGCUGAUGCUGCCUUCGUUUGGUUCAUCAGAGAGUCCCCAUUAAAUGUCUUAUAAAGGACUGUGCUUUUCCUAUUGGGAAACGAAUUGUGUGAAAUAGAAUCAUUAAAACGCAAAGAUGCUUGUCAGUUCGUAUACAUGGCGAUCUAACUGGUUUGGGGUGUGUAUCUAAGUAUUCACAGCACGGUUUGCACAUUUUGUUAUGUUACAGCCUUAUUCCACACAAGAAACCCCAUGAUGACAAAGUGAGACAUGUUUUGAGGAACGUUUUGCAAAUCUCUUAGAAAUAAAGACCCAUGUACAUAAGUAUCCACACUGAUCAUCCUGGAGAUGUUUCUACAGCUUCUAUGGAUCUCACGUGACGGGUGUGCAAGCUUGUGUUGUGCGACUCGAGAAGACCUGAGGCUGUGACGGCUGCCAAAGGUGCUUCAGCAAAGUAUUGAGCAAAAGCUCUGAAUACGUUUUGUUAUUUCUUUUUAAUACAUUUGAAAACAUUUAGAUUUUCUUUUCUCACAUGAAAAUGAAUCAUUUGUGGAAUAAGUCUGUAACAUAACAGAAUGUGGAAACUGAAGCGCUGUGAAUACUUUCUGUACCUUCGGCAGUGAUUGGGCUCCAAUGCUGAGCAUUGAAUUCAGGAGAACCAUAUUCAGUCCGAUGUGGUGGAUUCCACUUGGCUUGUUGAGCGCUACAGUCAGUUUAUUGCUCUUAUUCUGCAACCGAAAAAUAUAAGACCUAUAAAAUUUAGUUAAAUAUUAUUAAAUAAAUAAAGCAAUUUAAGAAGAGUCGAAACGAUAUUAAACCCCAAAAUACUUUUCAUUGACUUUUUUUAUUAUUUUGAAUACAUUUGUUGCAUUUUUCAAUGUUCAAAACCAAAACUAGUGGUGCUGAUUCACUCCGGUGCGUCCACUCUCCUGAUGACCUUCUGCCACGUCCACCUCCAACUUUCAUCAGAAGUCACCUUCAACCGCUGAAAACUUCUUCCAGAUCCUCUCCUCUGGAAGGAGCCACGGGUCCAUAUUGAUCCAUAAACCGCAGUCAGAACACGACAUUCUAACUGCAUCUGUUCUUCACCAGCUGGACCACCAAGAUCUUCCUUCCUCUGCGCUCGGAGAGCCAUCAGACCAGAAACCUCUUUCAUGACGUGCACCCCUCCUUGCUGCUCUUUCUGCACCGCCUGAGAUCCAUCUCCAUCUACAAUGAGAUUGAGAAGCGCCAUGAGACCAUGACUCGAAAGGACCUGAGUCACAAUGUCUUAGAGGUGAAGCACACAGAGGGCACGGAGCGCUGGCUGGUGGUCAAAACCACUGUGCAGCCCAAGAAGAUCAAAGAAGAUGUCGACUCCAC